Trifolium pratense (red clover) is the source of this 419-nucleotide long non-coding RNA. RefSeq lists it as uncharacterized. The record is from RefSeq and is a predicted model, not a curated record. The transcript has 4 exons. Lineage: Eukaryota; Viridiplantae; Streptophyta; Magnoliopsida; Fabales; Fabaceae.
GGAUGGAGGGGGGAUUUAAUCACUGCCAGAAAAAGUGCAGUAAACUUUCUUGGUGUUACUUCAAUGUCAAAGGGGCCACACCAAUGGAGACUUCCAUUGUCAGUUUAUCAGCCAAGCGGAAAAAAUGUCAAAAGAACAAAAGAAGCAAUCAGUGCCAUUCUAAGGGAGAGUUAUAGAUUUGUGUUAUUUGUAAGCAAAUCGAUGGUUCAUGCACACAAUGUGUCAAGUGUUCCACAUGUCUCCAUGCCAUGUGUGCGUGAAGGACUGAUUAUCGCAUAGAGAGUACAAUCAGGCAUGCAGCCGCUUGUGAAUAAUGCAGCUGCUGCUAAUGUGCCUUUGUCCCACUCCUGGAACGCCUCAACAAGUACAAUCAGGCAUGCAGCCGCUUGUGAAUAAUGCAGCGCCUGUGCAACCUUGGU